Molecule: ribosomal RNA, 2892 nt
Filed under: human gut metagenome
Description: bacterial LSU rRNA
Rfam family: Bacterial large subunit ribosomal RNA
Source: RNAcentral
GUAAGGGCGCACGGUGGAUGCCUUGGCACUAGGAGCCGAAGAAGGACGUGACAAACGACGAAAUGCCUCGGGGAGCUGUAAGUAAGCGACGAUCCGUGGAUGUCCGAAUGGGGGAACCCAACAGGUUGAUGCCUGUUACCCAUUUCUGUUAAGGAAAUGAGGAGGAAGACGCAGUGAACUGAAACAUCUAAGUAGCUGCAGGAAGAGAAAGCAAAAGCGAUUGCCUUAGUAGCGGCGAGCGAAGAGGCAGGAGGGCAAACCGAAGAGUUUACUCUUCGGGGUUGUAGGACUGCAAUGUGGACUCAGAAUUUAUAGAAGAAUGGCUUGGGAAAGUCAGCCAAAGAGAGUAAGAGCCUCGUAUUUUAAAUAGAUUCUGUACCUAGCAGUAUCCUGAGUACGGCGGGACACGAGAAAUCCCGUCGGAAUCUGGGAGGACCAUCUCCCAACCCUAAAUACUCCCUAGUGACCGAUAGUGAACCAGUACCGUGAGGGAAAGGUGAAAAGCACCCCGGGAGGGGAGUGAAAUAGAACCUGAAACCGUGUGCCUACAACAAGUUCGAGCCCGUUAAUGGGUGAGAGCGUGCCUUUUGUAGAAUGAACCGGCGAGUUACGUUAUGAUGCGAGGUUAAGUUGAAGAGACGGAGCCGUAGGGAAACCGAGUCUGAAUAGGGCGCUUUAGUAUCAUGACGUAGACCCGAAACCAUGUGACCUACCCAUGAGCAGGUUGAAGGUGCGGUAAAACGCACUGGAGGACCGAACCAGGGCACGUUGAAAAGUGCUUGGAUGACUUGUGGGUAGCGGAGAAAUUCCAAACGAACUUGGAGAUAGCUGGUUCUCUCCGAAAUAGCUUUAGGGCUAGCGUCGACAUAAAGAUUCUUGGAGGUAGAGCACUGUUUGGGUGAGGGGUCCAUCCCGGAUUACCAAUCUCAGAUAAACUCCGAAUGCCAAUGAAUUAUGGUCGGCAGUCAGACUGCGAGUGCUAAGAUCCGUAGUCGAAAGGGAAACAGCCCAGACCACCAGCUAAGGUCCCAAAAUAUAUGUUAAGUGGAAAAGGAUGUGGGGUUGCACAGACAACUAGGAUGUUGGCUUAGAAGCAGCCACCAUUUAAAGAGUGCGUAAUAGCUCACUAGUCGAGUGACCCUGCGCCGAAAAUGUACCGGGGCUAAAACAAUUUACCGAAGCUGUGGAUCCCUUAGGGGAUGGUAGGAGAGCGUUCUAUGUGUGGAGAAGGUGUACCGUGAGGAGCGCUGGAACGCAUAGAAGUGAGAAUGCCGGUAUGAGUAGCGAAAGACAGGUGAGAAUCCUGUCCACCGUAAGACUAAGGUUUCCAGGGGAAGGCUCGUCCGCCCUGGGUUAGUCGGGACCUAAGGAGAGACCGAAGGGUGUAUCCGAUGGCCAACAGGUUGAUAUUCCUGUACUAGAGUAUGAAGUGAUGGAGGGACGCAGUAGGCUAACUAAAGCAGACGAUUGGAAGAGUCUGUCUAAGCAGUGAGGCGUGGUAUGAGUCAAAUGCUUAUACCUAUAACGUUGAGCUGUGAUGGGGAGCGAAGUUUAGUAGCGAAGUUAGUGAUGUCACACUGCCAAGAAAAGCUUCUAGCGAUGUAUCAUACUCUACCCGUACCGCAAACCGACACAGGUAGUCGAGGCGAGUAGCCUCAGGUGAGCGAGAGAACUCUCGUUAAGGAACUCGGCAAAAUGACCCCGUAACUUCGGGAGAAGGGGUGCUGAUUUAGGUCAGCCGCAGUGAAUAGGCCCAAGCAACUGUUUAUCAAAAACACAGCUCUCUGCUAAAUCGUAAGAUGAUGUAUAGGGGGUGACGCCUGCCCGGUGCUGGAAGGUUAAGAGGAGUGCUUAGCGGUAACGCGAAGGUAUGAAUUGAAGCCCCAGUAAACGGCGGCCGUAACUAUAACGGUCCUAAGGUAGCGAAAUUCCUUGUCGGGUAAGUUCCGACCUGCACGAAUGGCGUAAUGAUGGCCAGGCUGUCUCCACCCGAGACUCAGUGAAAUUGAACUCGCUGUGAAGAUGCAGUGUACCCGCGGCAAGACGGAAAGACCCCGUGAACCUUUACUAUAGCUUGACACUGAACAUUGAGCCUUGAUGUGUAGGAUAGGUGGGAGGCUUUGAAGCGUGGACGCCAGUCUGCGUGGAGCCAACCUUGAAAUACCACCCUUUAAUGUUUGAUGUUCUAACGUUGGCCCCUGACCGGGGUUGCGGACAGUGUCUGGUGGGUAGUUUGACUGGGGCGGUCUCCUCCCAAAGCGUAACGGAGGAGCACGAAGGUUAGCUAAUCCUGGUCGGACAUCAGGAGGUUAGUGCAAUGGCAUAAGCUAGCUUGACUGCGAGCGUGACGGCGCGAGCAGGUGCGAAAGCAGGUCAUAGUGAUCCGGUGGUUCUGAAUGGAAGGGCCAUCGCUCAACGGAUAAAAGGUACUCCGGGGAUAACAGGCUGAUACCGCCCAAGAGUUCAUAUCGACGGCGGUGUUUGGCACCUCGAUGUCGGCUCAUCACAUCCUGGGGCUGAAGUAGGUCCCAAGGGUAUGGCUGUUCGCCAUUUAAAGUGGUACGCGAGCUGGGUUUAGAACGUCGUGAGACAGUUCGGUCCCUAUCUGCCGUGGGCGCUGGAGAAUUGAGGGGGGCUGCUCCUAGUACGAGAGGACCGGAGUGGACGCAUCACUGGUGUUCGGGUUGUCAUGCCAAUGGCACUGCCCGGUAGCUAAAUGCGGAAGAGAUAAGUGCUGAAAGCAUCUAAGCACGAAACUUGCCCCGAGAUGAGUUCUCCCUGAGACUUUAAGUCUCCUGAAGGAACGUUAAAGACGAUGACGUUGAUAGGCCGGGUGUGUAAGCGCAGCGAUGCGUUGAGCUAACCGGUACUAAUGAACCGUGAGGCUUAACC